Long non-coding RNA from Asparagus officinalis (garden asparagus), 699 nucleotides. RefSeq lists it as uncharacterized. The transcript is spliced from 2 exons. The record is from RefSeq and is a predicted model, not a curated record. NCBI's taxonomy places the organism in Eukaryota, Viridiplantae, Streptophyta, Magnoliopsida, Asparagales, Asparagaceae.
CCCCCGCUACUACCUGCCACGAGCUCCUUCUCCACGAGAAUCCUCUUCGUCCCCCCUCUCUCACUCGAUCUAUCGGAUCCUCUCUGCCGACGGACUGAGUAGCGCAUCGCCGACCGAGACGAUUAGCGCACCGCCACCGACGCUGUCACUUGAUAACAAUCCCCGCGAGAUUGAAUCGGUGUUGCAGGUGAUAUAAUGGUAAGAAAGAGUUUUUAUGUUGUAAAGAGAGGUCGACGUUGUGGUAUUUUUUAUAAUUGGAAAGAAUGCAAAUCUCAAGUUGAUAGAUUCCCAAAUACCUUCUACAAAGGGUAUGCAACAUAUGAAGAGGCUUUGAGUGAAUGGGAGAAGCACUUAAGCGUGCGUGACUUAGCAUCCAGCUCAAGAGAUAUGCGUAAUCCACCUGUUUGUGUUCAAGAGCAAAUGUAUCCAGAGGUGCAUAAUCUUCUUCAAGACAAUGGACCACUUGGGGAAACUGCUAUUUCCUCCAUCCAUGUUUUUUUAUUAGGUUCAGUGUUUACAAAUUUAAUAUUUCUAGUAUGUAUCGUUGCAGUAUUUGUUGGUUUCUCUAUCGGGGGAAACAUUUGAUGUGAUUCGUGUAUGAUUUUUCAAUUUGAGAAUAAGCUUGCAUAACUUGGGUCAUUUUGUACUUAGUUUGUACUCAAUUAUGAGCUUGUUUGUUUACAAUUACAUUUACAUUUU